CCUACGGGAGGCAGCAGUGAGGAAUAUUGGUCAAUGGCCGGAAGGCUGAACCAGCCAAGCCGCGUGAAGGACGAAGGUGCCAAGCAUUGUAAACUUCUUUUGUCAAGGGACAAAAUCAGGCUCGAGAGCCUGACCGAGGGUACUUGAAGAAAAAGCAUCGGCUAACUCCGUGCCAGCAGCCGCGGUAAUACGGAGGAUGCGAGCGUUAUCCGGAUUUAUUGGGUUUAAAGGGUGCGUAGGCGGACAGUUAAGUCAGCGGUAAAAGCCCGGGGCUCAACCCCGGCAAGCCGUUGAAACUGGCUGUCUAGAGAUGUCGAGAGGUAUGCGGAAUGCGCAGUGUAGCGGUGAAAUGCUUAGAUAUUGCGCAGAACUCCGAUUGCGAAGGCAGCAUACCGGCGGCGAUCUGACGCUGAGGCACGAAAGCGUGGGUAUCGAACAGGAUUAGAUACCCCUGUAGUC
RNAcentral lists this ribosomal RNA (459 nucleotides) under uncultured bacterium. Its description in RNAcentral is "partial 16S ribosomal RNA". It matches the Rfam family "Bacterial small subunit ribosomal RNA", at positions 338 to 795 of the family's 1533-position model. The record is from RNAcentral.